GGGGUUGUGGCUCAGUGGUAGAGUGCUUACCUAGCAUGUGUGAGGCACUGGGUUCAAUCCUCAGCACCA
This 69-nucleotide transfer RNA is filed under the name Sciurus carolinensis (gray squirrel). It matches the Rfam family "tRNA". Rfam says of the family: Transfer RNA (tRNA) molecules are approximately 80 nucleotides in length. Their secondary structure includes four short double-helical elements and three loops (D, anti-codon, and T loops). RNAcentral also lists the same sequence under 2 other names. Lineage: Eukaryota; Metazoa; Chordata; Mammalia; Rodentia; Sciuridae. The record is from Rfam by way of RNAcentral.